This 170-nucleotide ribosomal RNA is filed under the name uncultured Clostridium sp. Its description in RNAcentral is "partial 16S ribosomal RNA". It matches the Rfam family "Bacterial small subunit ribosomal RNA", at positions 338 to 524 of the family's 1533-position model. Lineage: Bacteria; Bacillati; Bacillota; Clostridia; Eubacteriales; Clostridiaceae. The record is from RNAcentral.
CCUACGGGAGGCAGCAGUGGGGAAUAUUGCGCAAUGGGGGAAACCCUGACGCAGCAACGCCGCGUGGAGGAUGAAGGCCUUCGGGUUGUAAACUCCUGUCUUCGCUGACGAAAGAUGACGGUAAGCGAGGAGGAAGCCACGGCUAACUACGUGCCAGCAGCCGCGGUAAU